RNAcentral lists this long non-coding RNA (597 nucleotides) under Numida meleagris (helmeted guineafowl). RNAcentral's name for it is "lncRNA (ENSNMEG00000015896.1)". The record is from RNAcentral. Lineage: Eukaryota; Metazoa; Chordata; Aves; Galliformes; Numididae.
UAGCAGAAAGAUGUGGGCUGGCAGUACUUCCUGAGAGUGGUAGAAACAUUCUGUUGAGAUCCAUUGCGUUUUGAGGAUUUUCCAAAGAGCUAUUUGCUUCUCACCGAGUUUCUUUUUCUUUAAAUGAUAUAUAAUCUCAUCACAGCUUUCAAGGUGUCCCGGAGAAAUGCAUUUCUUUGCUUAUGACAAGUCUAGGAGGGCAUCCUUCACCCCCUGAACUUUGCAAAUUCUCUCUUAGCACGCAGCUCUGGAGGACGCAAGCCGGAGGAAAGCUCCUGGAAUCAACGCAGAGUGGAGUGGGCUGGGAGGCCCAGGGACUCCACUGUCCUCUGCUUGCUGGCGAGCUGCAUGUGCUUUGCAGGAGUGCAGGAGUGCAGAAUGAAUGGCAGACACAGAAGUGAGGGUGGGAAAGUGGAGCCAUGCUUCCAGCAGUGAGGAUUGGAGCCAGCACCACUCCAGAGGUCCACUUUGAAAUCUGUGCAGUGCAUGAACACAAAGCUGCAAGUUUGUUUGUGUUGUUUGUCCUUCCUUCCUUCCUUCCUUCCUUCCUUCCUUCCUUCCUUCCUUCCUUCCUUCCUUCCUUCCUUCCUUCCUUCC